GCGUCGGGGCGCCCUGCGGCGGAUGUGGAAGAGCCACCUCUGAAGGGUCAAUUCAGUACAGCCUGGCGCCAACACAGACGGACAUCAACAGCAAUUCCAACACAAUAUUAUUUAACCCAGUAGAAGACUUAACCUCCUUCCACAAACCUCACUAUAAUUACAUCAUGAGCUUCACUACCACAAGUUAUUCAGAAGAAGAUGAAUAUGGAGAGGACAAGACUGUCACUGACUGUUUAAAAUGGCACCUGGAGGACAUAACAGAAAAGAAUGACUCUGUACUUGCCUUUUUCAUUAAUAUAUUUUGUUAAAUUAGCUGUUAGUGAUAGACUACUAGGCUAGACGGAUCUUUGGUCUGAGUGAGGGUGGCUCAUAUUGUGUGUGUGCUUACAAAUCAUCUACUGUCAAAUAUCUAUCCCUUGGAUAAGUUUUUCAUCAAGUCACUGUUUUGUUAUAUCUUGGUUAAUUUGAAAAAAAAAAAAAAAAAUAGAGCCAGACGUAUGUUUCACCCUUAUUAACAGGGAAAAGGAAAUCUAUGGGAUUUUAAGGUUAGCAUCUGAAAAUGGAGGGCACAAGUCCCUGUGUAAACAUGCAUUUGCCACAAACAUUCUUUUGGACCAAAAAUAAAUCAACAGUCAGAAAAACUAGACUCUUGAGUCUGGUCAGAGCAGGUGUCCAAAUGAAUGUUCCACUAGUACUGUUUGGCAACAUAAACCAAUUUUUAAUUAGGCAUUAUUUUAUGUGGGCAACGUGUCUAAAAUACAAGAUAUAUACUGCCUGAGUACUGCAUUAUCUUCCUGUUAUUCAUGUUAACUCAUUCUUGUCAUUCACUAUUCUACAUUUGACUGCUAAAACCAGUGUUUGCUAUACAUAUUCAGAUUUCUGUAGGACCACAGGAAUAAAGCAGAGCUUAGAAUAUUU
This is a long non-coding RNA of Harpia harpyja (harpy eagle), 918 nucleotides long. RefSeq lists it as uncharacterized. The record is from RefSeq and is a predicted model, not a curated record. Lineage: Eukaryota; Metazoa; Chordata; Aves; Accipitriformes; Accipitridae. The transcript has 3 exons.